RNAcentral lists this ribosomal RNA (253 nucleotides) under uncultured bacterium. RNAcentral describes it as "partial 16S ribosomal RNA". It matches the Rfam family "Bacterial small subunit ribosomal RNA", at positions 524 to 776 of the family's 1533-position model. The record is from RNAcentral.
UACGUAGGCAGCAAGCGUUGUUCGGAGUUACUGGGCGUAAAGGGUGUGUAGGCGGUUCCCUAAGUUUGGUGUGAAGUCUCCCGGCUCAACUGGGAGGGUGCGCCGAAAACUGGGGGGCUAGAGUACUGGAUGGGAGAGUGGAAUUCCUGGUGUAGCGGUGAAAUGCGUAGAUAUUGGGAGGAACACCAGUGGCGAAGGCGGCUCACUGGACCGGAACUGACGCUGAGGCGCGAAAGCGUGGGGAGCAAACAGG